GACGAACGCUGGCGGCGUGCUUAACACAUGCAAGUCGAACGGAAAGGCCCUGCUUUUGUGGGGUGCUCGAGUGCCGAACGGGUGAGUAACACGUGAGUAACCUGCCCUUGUCUUUGUGAUAACUUCAGGAAACUGGGGCUAUUACCGGAUAGGAGCUCCUGCUGCAUGGUGGGGGAUGGAAAGUUUCGGCGGUUGUGGAUGGACUCGCGGCGUAUGAGCUAGUUGGUGAGGUAGUGGCUUACCAAGGCUGCGAUGGGUAGCCGGCCUGAGAGGGUGACCGGCCACACUGGAGCUGAGGCAGGGUCCAGAGGGCUACGGGAGGCAGCAGUAGGGAAUCUUCCGCAACGGGCGAAAGCGUGACGGAGCAACGCCGCGUGAGUGAUGAAGGUCGUCGGAUCGGAAAACUGUGUUAUUAGGGAAGAACAAAUGUGUAAGUAACUAUGCACGUCUUGACGGUACCUAAUGAGAAAGCCACGGCUAACUACGUG
This 488-nucleotide ribosomal RNA is filed under the name uncultured bacterium. Its description in RNAcentral is "partial 16S ribosomal RNA". It matches the Rfam family "Bacterial small subunit ribosomal RNA", at positions 28 to 507 of the family's 1533-position model. The record is from RNAcentral.